UAGGCCACAUGAUUGUCACCUUAGUUGCCCGGGUUCUCAGUUUUGGCAAUUCUUGUGUCAACCCAUUUGCUCUUUACCUACUCAGUGAAAGCUUCAGGAGGCAUUUCAACAGCCAACUCUGCUGUGGGAGGAAGUCCUAUCAAGAGAGAGGAACCAGCUACCUACUCAGCUCUUCAGCGGCAUAGUCCUAAAGCUUUACAUUUACUAUCUAAUUUAAUCAUCAAUAUAAUCACUGAGGUGAACAAGAGAAGGAUCUAAUUUGGCAAGAUGGAUACCAGAUGUGUUCUUGAUCUAGAGAGACUGUUUCAUUAACUCACAGAAAAUGAAGGUGAAGACAAACAUGGCUGGUCUGUUAUUCUUUUUUACUUUCUUAUGUUAAGUAAUAAAAAAAAAUAAA
RNAcentral lists this small RNA (397 nucleotides) under Pongo abelii (Sumatran orangutan). RNAcentral describes it as "processed transcript". The record is from RNAcentral. Lineage: Eukaryota; Metazoa; Chordata; Mammalia; Primates; Hominidae.